ACGCAAUUAUGACCCUGCUACCAAGAUGUGGAACUUCAGCCUUGAGGACUAUCGUCAGCUAAUGGAGGAGUCCGGCUCCAUCUCCUGUAUAUGUCUGAAACCUCUGGUGGGGGGUAUUGACGUGGCGCCGGGGUCUAGCCGGUCC
Molecule: non-coding RNA, 145 nt
Organism: Salmo salar (Atlantic salmon)
Lineage: Eukaryota; Metazoa; Chordata; Actinopteri; Salmoniformes; Salmonidae
Source: RefSeq, a predicted model, not a curated record